Molecule: unclassified non-coding RNA, 826 nt
Filed under: Hevea brasiliensis (rubber tree)
Lineage: Eukaryota; Viridiplantae; Streptophyta; Magnoliopsida; Malpighiales; Euphorbiaceae
Source: RNAcentral
GUUUGCCAUGCCUACUAUGUCUAAGGUGCAUGAGGGACACAUGUAUACCCGAAAAGCAUCUGCUCAAAGAUCCAAGGAGACUCUAUGCACCUGGUCGCCUCUAUCACAUUGUUGAGAGAAAACCUUUCAGGUAUGAUCACACACAAUGAUCUAAGUUCUAUCAAAUAUUUACUCAACUAACACUAUGUUAAGAUGGAGUGAGGAGAAGGGAAAAGAAGUUUUAUCAAAUCAAAGAAAGGGUUAUGGAAUAUAAUGGAAGUAAAAAAUCUCAGCCUCUCUUAUUUGAGAGGAAGUGAGAGAAAGGGAGGUAGGUAAAAUAUUAAAGUUACAAAAAUGUUAUCAUUCUUAACUAAGAUGAAACAGGAUGUAUAAGGAUAACAAAGGUAAUUUGCAAUUUAUGCUUCAACGAUUUAACUUAUCCUUCUUAAACCCCAAAUUGGGGUGUAAGGAUAUAGGUAGAGCAUACAAUUACAGGUUAGUACUGCUGAGAUACUGUUUUCUUUCCUAGUUUUUUGUGGGGAAACAUUAAUAUAUAAUCUGUCAUAGACAUUAGAGAUUUACUUUAACAUGGUAUAUCUAUGAACUAGUAAUGUUUUCAUAUUAGAGAAAUCAUACAACUGUGUCUGAUUGGGUUGGCUGUCAGGGGUAUAGCCUACGAGUGAUUUAGUAAAAACAGGGGAUCAUAUAAUAGUUCCUGGUCUCCACGGGCUCUGCCAUUUAGAUCAGGAAGGAACAAUUAAGUUCAAUAGUUAUUCUGGUCAGUUUUAUCCUGUAAUGAAAAUUUGAGUUAUUACCAUUUUUGGAUGGUCAUGUAUGAAUUUUGUUU